UACGAAGGGGGCUAGCGUUGCUCGGAAUCACUGGGCGUAAAGGGUGCGUAGGCGGGUCUUUAAGUCAGGGGUGAAAUGCCAAGGCUCAACCUUGGAACUGCCUCUGAUACUGGCGAUCUUCGAGUCCGGGAGAGGUGAGUGGAACUCCGAGUGUAGAGGUGAAAUUCGUAGAUAUUCGGAAGAACACCAGUGGCGAAGGCGGCUCACUGGCCCGGUACUGACGCUCAGGUGCGAAAGCGUGGGGAGCAAACAGG
Molecule: ribosomal RNA, 254 nt
Filed under: uncultured bacterium
Lineage: Bacteria
Description: partial 16S ribosomal RNA
Rfam family: Bacterial small subunit ribosomal RNA
Source: RNAcentral